CCUAACCCCUUGUCCCUGCCAAGCCUAAAUCCAAGCCCAAUCUCUCACAAAUUUAUCAAGCUGACUUGAAAAUUAAAAAAAUCUAGUCCUACCGUCUCCUUCCUCUCCCUUCUCUCACUGAAGCUUGAGCUCUCAUCUCUUUGCUCACUGGCUCAAUCUCAAGGUCUCUCCCACUCUCAUCUCUGGUUAAGCACUCAAGGUCCUAGUCGCUCUCUAUGUUAUCAAUCAUCACUGUCUUGUCGGUCGUCACCGUUUCGAACUCAGUCGCGCUCGGACGCCUUCCCUGAGCUCGUCGUCACCGGCGGAAGAAGCAACUGGUAGGAGUUACUAGAGCCAUCGUCACGGAACGUGCAUCAUAGUGAUCCAUUAUUGCAUGCGGAGGCGGAUGCAGUAGCGUUGAUAUAGGUAUGGAAGAGGCCGGAGGAGGAGUAGUUGAGCGGCCACAUAAGAAGCAUUUGGGUGCAAUUGAGGUAAACAAUGGUAUUAGAGCUUAUGAUGUUGAAAGGGAGGGUGCUGUUGAGCUGGAUCCCUGGGUGAACCUUAUUGGUGGUGACACACAUGUUCGGCAGGAGCAGUGCAGGACGGAUGUUGAUGCGUUGGGACUGAGGGUUUAUGGACUCGAUCGGGUAGGAUUUGUUGAGCGUGUCAUAGACGAGAGUGUUGGAGGUACAAAGGAUCUUGUAGGCGUGGUUGCCACAGGUUGGGGUGGUGCUUAGUGGGAAUGGGAUGGUGGCAUUGCCGCACCGGGGGCAUGGUGUUGCUGGUGUCACGUGAGGAGCACGUGAGAUGAAAAAAAAAGGGGAUGAUAGAAGGAAGAUGAGGAGGUUGGUUGGGGAUAAGAGCAGGAGAUAUGGCUAUUUUGUACUGGCAAAGAGCUGCUAGUUAUAGGCCGACUAGAAUAUUUGACAUUUUGCAGUUUGUUGCUGCAUAAUCAACACCAGCUCCUUGUCCUGCUGCUCAGGUUCAGAGAAAAAUUAUCUCCAAAGAGUGAGAAUUUGGCUGUAGCUUCUGCUGACAACAUACAUGCAAAGCCCAAAUCCAAGCCUAUCGACAGACAGGUGAAGGUCUUCUUUGCUGUUCCUGAAACUGUUGUAGCAAAAAUUGAGCUGCCAGAUGGUGUUGUACUUCAAGGUGUAUUUUCUCUAUGGAAACCAACUAUGGCCCUCUAUGAGAUUUGUCCUUUAACAAAUUCGAUACUUUGUUUUGAGGGAAAAAUUCAAUCAUGGAAGUUGGAAAUUUCUUGAGUUAACAAUUUACUGUCGGAUAACUAUAAUUGCAAUUUAUAAAGAAGACCCUAGUUG
Non-coding RNA from Arachis ipaensis, 1301 nucleotides. The record is from RefSeq and is a predicted model, not a curated record. Lineage: Eukaryota; Viridiplantae; Streptophyta; Magnoliopsida; Fabales; Fabaceae.